Molecule: transfer RNA, 77 nt
Filed under: Micrococcus sp. FDAARGOS_333
Lineage: Bacteria; Bacillati; Actinomycetota; Actinomycetes; Micrococcales; Micrococcaceae
Description: tRNA-Met
Rfam family: tRNA
About the family: Transfer RNA (tRNA) molecules are approximately 80 nucleotides in length. Their secondary structure includes four short double-helical elements and three loops (D, anti-codon, and T loops).
Source: RNAcentral
GGGGCGUUAGCUCAGUCGGUCAGAGCAGGGGACUCAUAAUCCUUUGGUCGCGGGUUCAAGUCCCGCACGCCCUACAA